Molecule: non-coding RNA, 74 nt
Organism: Podarcis lilfordi (Lilford's wall lizard)
Lineage: Eukaryota; Metazoa; Chordata; Lepidosauria; Squamata; Lacertidae
Source: the annotation of a GenBank genome assembly
GCUAGAGAGCGCUCAGUUGGUAGAGCCUGAGACUCUUAAUCUCAGGGUCGUGGGUUUGAGCCUGUUGCUGGGCA